GGGGGCGUCCCCUUUGCCGCUCGCCCCCGGCCUGCUCCAGACGGCCUGUCAGGGGGCCCGCCUUCCCCGCGCGCCGGCCUGGGGCCACAAAGGAAGUGGGCCCAGUGAGGGGCCAGAAGGUGGCCUGGGCUGGAACUUGGGCCACUGGGCUGUGCCGUGACCGGCGAGGCUUUUGCUGCCCACUUGGCUUUGUUUUUGGAUGUCCAGUAAAAGCAAAGAUGGACUUAGCUUUUCGGCGGGUUCUCUCGUCGACUGUCGCUCCUAUUUAAUACCACUGAGUGAUUUUAGUGACGUUAUGUUUGGCAGUAAGAUUUAGGACAUGGUUCAAGAGGCUCCUUCGUUUCUGUAGUUUAAAAAUGUGGCUUUAAUUACAGGCUUGAGUAGUUGAUAAAGAACAUUUUAAGAAGCCUGGGAAGACCAUGUGGGAAUGAACCGCUUAAACUGCCUUUAAAGCGAAAAGUGGGCUUUGAUAAAAUGUAUCCCUUUCAAAUAAAUGCUUUGCAAUCU
This 507-nucleotide long non-coding RNA is filed under the name Mus musculus (house mouse). Its description in RNAcentral is "long non-coding RNA chr11:6547176-6547683". The record is from RNAcentral. Lineage: Eukaryota; Metazoa; Chordata; Mammalia; Rodentia; Muridae.